AAAAAAAUAUUUUCCCUAAGUGGCAGCCCUGACCAACUUCUAAAUCAUUUUUCGGGAGAAUUUUCAAGAACACCCGAAUUGAUCCUGUCUGUGUGUGACUGGAGCGAGUUACACAUUCUGAUCUUAUCUCCUGGGUCCCGGUGCAGCCUGCUGCCAGCGCCUGGAGGCAGACCAGUCCCCGUGCAGUCGCUGGCAUCUGGAUUAUCUUUAGCAUCUUCUCUUCCUCCAUUUACUCUCGUGAUCAUUGCCGUGUGGUAAUUUAACGCCUAUCUGAUUCUGUGCAAACUUGUAGAUUGCAUACAAACAGAGCCAAUGAAUGAGUUUAUUAGUGUUGGGUAGUUAAGUAAUUGGUUUUUUUUCGUGCUUGGUGGGUUGUUACAGAAAUAUUUAAGUGUUUUGUCAAUAUUUGGGGAAAUUGGUGGUGGAGUUUUUGGAGGAAGCUGGGAGCGAGUGCAUUAUUCCCCCGCUUAAAAUUGUUGUUUAUCCUCAAAUUUUCUAUUGAAUGUUUUUUUUGGAGGAUGGAUUAAGUUUACAUUGUGUGGGAUGCCUGUUUAAAGAGGUACAUACCUAUAUAUGCAACAUAUUGCAUAUACUAUCUACAUACAUGAGUGCAUUAUUUUCCUUGCUUAAAAUUGUUGUUUAUCCU
Molecule: long non-coding RNA, 646 nt
Organism: Myotis lucifugus (little brown bat)
Lineage: Eukaryota; Metazoa; Chordata; Mammalia; Chiroptera; Vespertilionidae
Exons: 2
Source: RefSeq, a predicted model, not a curated record